RNAcentral lists this ribosomal RNA (605 nucleotides) under Dilophotes sp. E LB-2014. RNAcentral describes it as "partial 16S ribosomal RNA". It matches the Rfam family "Bacterial large subunit ribosomal RNA", at positions 1822 to 2716 of the family's 2925-position model. The record is from RNAcentral. Lineage: Eukaryota; Metazoa; Arthropoda; Insecta; Coleoptera; Lycidae.
CAUGUCCUUUAGAAAAUGAUUUAAGGUCUGACCUGCACGAUGAAGUUUAAAUUGCCGCAGUAUUUUGACUGUGCGAAGGUAGCAUAAUAAUUAGUUCCUUGAUUAGGGACUUGUAUGAAGGGUUGGACGAGAGAAUAUCUGUCUCAAUUUAAUUUUUAUUGAAUUUUAUUUUUAAGUUAAAAGGCUUAAAUUGAUCUAAAAGACGAGAAGACCCUAUAGAGUUUUACAAUUUAAUUUGAUUAGUAGUUAGUAUUGUUAUUUAUAUUUAAUUGUUUAGUUGGGGUGAUUUGUUGAUUAGUAUAAUUCUUUAAAAAAUUAAAUUAAUGAUGUUUAAAUAUAAAAUCUGGAUAUUUCAAGUUUAAAACAAAUUACCUUAGGGAUAACAGCGUAAUUUUUCUUUAAAGUUCAUAUUGAAAGAAGAGCUUGCGACCUCGAUGUUGGAUUAAAGUUAAUAUUUGGUGCAGUAACUUAAUUAUUAGGUCUGUUCGACCUUUAAAACUUUACAUGAUCUGAGUUUAGACCGGCGUGAGCCAGGUUAGAUUCUAUCUUUAUUGUGUUAAUGUAUUUUAGUACGAAAGGACCAUAUAUAUGUUAGAUAUUAAUUG